GGGGGCGAAAGGUUUCGACGGAGAAUACAAGGUUUGGACUGCGUGUCGAGGUCCCGCUGGCUCGUUAAACAAGUGGGAAAAAACAACUGCUGACACUGAGUUAGCAUUAGCCGCCUAAUUCGUUAGGUAGCUCGUCCCCAGAUCCCGCGCCUGCCGGGGGUCUGGUAGGGCGCCAUAUAGGUGGGCUAGCCGCUGCGGCGCCUGGAAGCAGUAGCGAAACUAACAGGCUGGUGGUUUGGAAAUCCCGUCCGCCGGAGUUCUAAACUGCGAGAUUAAACGACGGACUACACACGUAGAUGUUCUUGCUGAGGUUCUUUCGGACGCGGGUUCGAUUCCCGCCGCCUCCACUG
Molecule: transfer-messenger RNA, 350 nt
Filed under: bacterium
Lineage: Bacteria
Also listed under: 1 other name
Description: JAHJDP01 sp018831195 Standard tmRNA
Rfam family: transfer-messenger RNA
About the family: Bacterial tmRNA, also known as 10Sa RNA or SsrA, is named for its dual tRNA and mRNA-like properties. Its role is to liberate the mRNA from a stalled ribosome. To accomplish this part of the tmRNA is used as a reading frame that ends in a translation stop signal.
Source: RNAcentral